UUGCUGGUUUAGUGGCGGACGGGUGAGUAACGCGUGGAUAACCUGCCUCAUACAGGGGGAUAACAGUUAGAAAUGACUGCUAAUACCGCAUAAGCGCACAGUUUCGCAUGGAACAGUGUGAAAAACUCCGGUGGUAUGAGAUGGAUCCGCGUCUGAUUAGCUAGUUGGCGGGGUAACAGCCCACCAAGGCGACGAUCAGUAGCCGGCCUGAGAGGGUGAACGGCCACAUUGGGACUGAGACACGGCCCAAACUCCUACGGGAGGCAGCAGUGGGGGAUAUUGCACAAUGGGGGAAACCCUGAUGCAGCGAACCGCCGCGUGAGUGAAGAAGUAUUUCGGUAUGUAAAGCUCUAUCAGCAGGGAAGAUAAUGACGGUACCUGACUAAGAAGCACCGGCUAAAUACGUGCCAGCAGCCGC
RNAcentral lists this ribosomal RNA (418 nucleotides) under uncultured bacterium. RNAcentral's name for it is "bacterial SSU rRNA". It matches the Rfam family "Bacterial small subunit ribosomal RNA", at positions 84 to 518 of the family's 1533-position model. The record is from RNAcentral.